CCUACGGGUGGCAGCAGUGAGGAAUAUUGGUCAAUGGGAGAGAUCCUGAACCAGCCAAGCCGCGUGAGGGAAGACGGCCCUAUGGGUUGUAAACCUCUUUUGUCGGAGAACAAAACCCGGGACGCGUCCCGGACUGCGUGUAUCCGAAGAAAAAGCAUCGGCUAACUCCGUGCCAGCAGCCGCGGUAAUACGGAGGAUGCGAGCGUUAUCCGGAUUUAUUGGGUUUAAAGGGUGCGGAGGCGGUCUGUUAAGUCAGCGGUCAAAUCGCGGGGCUCAACCCCGUCGAGCCGUUGAAACUGGCAGACUUGAGUUGGCGAGAAGUACGCGGAAUGCGCGGUGUAGCGGUGAAAUGCAUAGAUAUCGCGCGGAACACCAGUGGCGAAGGCGGCGUGCCGG
This 396-nucleotide ribosomal RNA is filed under the name uncultured bacterium. RNAcentral's name for it is "partial 16S ribosomal RNA". It matches the Rfam family "Bacterial small subunit ribosomal RNA", at positions 338 to 732 of the family's 1533-position model. The record is from RNAcentral.